RNAcentral lists this transfer RNA (72 nucleotides) under Camelus bactrianus (Bactrian camel). It matches the Rfam family "tRNA". From Rfam's summary of the family: Transfer RNA (tRNA) molecules are approximately 80 nucleotides in length. Their secondary structure includes four short double-helical elements and three loops (D, anti-codon, and T loops). Lineage: Eukaryota; Metazoa; Chordata; Mammalia; Artiodactyla; Camelidae. RNAcentral also lists the same sequence under 2 other names. The record is from Rfam by way of RNAcentral.
GACGGUGUAGCUCAAGGGGUAGAGCACAUGCUUAGCAUGCAUGAAGUCUGGGUUCAAUCCCUGGCACCUCCU